Long non-coding RNA from Carassius carassius (crucian carp), 799 nucleotides. RefSeq lists it as uncharacterized. NCBI's taxonomy places the organism in Eukaryota, Metazoa, Chordata, Actinopteri, Cypriniformes, Cyprinidae. The record is from RefSeq and is a predicted model, not a curated record. The transcript is spliced from 3 exons.
UUGAAGGAUGCUACGUCACAGCGCCGCGACGAAAGCUGUCCAAAUUCGUAGGAUCCUUCAAAUGCGGCCCACAAAUACGUCCUCCUUUUCCCCGAAUUGGAAGGAUGGGUGUGGUGGAUCCUUUCCCGUCCUACCUAUCCCAUAAUUCUUUUCGGCAGAGCGUAAUGGCGGAUGAAGCGAGCGGUAGCGGAGUGGGAGAGGAGUAUGCUUUUCGAUGUAAGUUUUUUAAAAACUGGCUUUUCAAAAAAAUAUAUUUUUUCAGUGGUUGUCUAGUUAGGCAUUUUGUUUUAGCGUUAAGCAUUUUUUUUUUUACAUUUGUACGUUUAUAUGUAAAAAAAAAAAAAACAUUACUUUUUGUAAACUAGCUUCUUCCUUACUGCCUGUGUGAAUAUCCCCUUACACACAGCUAAUUUGUUAGUGAUUGAAGCUGUUUUUAACGCUUCUAGGGAUGAAAGAGCAGACAGAAGUGUUUAUAAAGCUCCGGGCAGAGAACGAUGAGCUCUUCACCGGAGCAAAGAACUCUGCCACUGUGGGAUGGAGGAUAGUUUUGGAGAAGAUGGGCCUGUCUGGUAAAGUGACACCAGCCCAAGCAAAGAAAAAGAAUGCAAGUAUCCAGGGUCAGGAGAGGGAGUGAGUGGGAAGCCCACUGCUGCUACUUGGCCCUGGUUUGUCCAAAUGGAUGAGGUUUUAGGACAAAGGCCUUCAAUUUGCCCCCCUGUCCUUAUUGCCUCCAUCCCUAUGGACACUCCAGGGCCAAGUGCAGCAGUGAGUGACCAAGAGGAGAGAGAGGAAGAAGAGA